This is a long non-coding RNA of Pseudoliparis swirei, 694 nucleotides long. RefSeq lists it as uncharacterized. NCBI's taxonomy places the organism in Eukaryota, Metazoa, Chordata, Actinopteri, Perciformes, Liparidae. The transcript is spliced from 2 exons. The record is from RefSeq and is a predicted model, not a curated record.
CACGGACCAAAGAAGAGUUUGUCUCUUUGAACGUUGUCGCCUCGUCAGUACCGAUUCAUCCGUGAAGAUGUUGGCUGUCUCGGAUGCGACGUCACAACGGAGACGCCGUGUGUUCACAAACUAUUCCUCCGCUCCGUUUCCAAAAGCUUUGUUUCUGUGCUGAUUACUCAUCAUGUCCGUGUAGCACAACUUUAAGCUCUUACCCAUAAUUCCCGGACUUUCCGGAGGUGUGGGCACCGUGCUUCACGAGGCGGCAUCGGGACCCAAAUUGCGAAUGAGCGCAUCGACUCCUACAGAUGAGGAAAAACUCAACCCCCCUCCCGAAAGAACCCUUUCAGGGGACAAAAGGGAAGACGCCUUCAGGAGAGCAACAGGAGGAUCCCUCUCCAGGACGGACAGAGGAGUAGAUGUCAUGUGACCAGCAUGACGUGUUACAGAGUUGCAUAACCACGUUCCACCAGUACCACGGCGCGUGUGAAGAGUUAGUCGGAGGCCUUGACCACGAUCCAGAAAGCGGAAAUAAAUUAUGUGAAAUGUGUAUUUUUUCCUCUUCCUCGUGAACCCGAUUGACCUCGUUUCCAGAUGCUAUUUGCACAAUUAUGUCUGCCAUUUUUAAUGUGUGGUUUCAGAAGUAUCUGCAGUCUAUUUUUCUUUCUUUGCUGUUAUAAAACAAACAUACCGUUUUGUAUUUCGA